This 109-nucleotide small RNA is filed under the name Aquimarina brevivitae. RNAcentral describes it as "Flavo-1 RNA". Lineage: Bacteria; Pseudomonadati; Bacteroidota; Flavobacteriia; Flavobacteriales; Flavobacteriaceae. The record is from RNAcentral.
UAAUUGCGUAAGGGAUAGCAGUGGUUACCCCGCAGUGCUACGCUAAUAAUUCUAUUUCAUUAUAUAGAGAUAAAGCACUGCGGCGUAAAAACGAAUAGCCCGACCUCUU